This is a long non-coding RNA of Chroicocephalus ridibundus (black-headed gull), 325 nucleotides long. RefSeq lists it as uncharacterized. Lineage: Eukaryota; Metazoa; Chordata; Aves; Charadriiformes; Laridae. The transcript is spliced from 3 exons. The record is from RefSeq and is a predicted model, not a curated record.
GCCCCGCGGAGAGCUGGUGCUGGCUGGCUCUGGGUCUUGGCACAAGAUGAACCCCCAAACUGCAAAGUGGAAAAGGUGCUGCACUUUUGGAUCACUGCAGUAGAGCAUUAGAAAUAAUUCAGGAGUUCCUGAGAAAACUGGGUGCCAUUUCUUCGCUCCGUGAUCUCUUCUGGUUCAUCUCCACCUUUGCAGAUUUUUUCCGGUGUUAUAAUAAGGAAAAAGAGAAGGCACAUGCUCAAGCACUCUGGAAAAUAAUUCAACAUUUUUCACUAAAAUGACUUCUAAAUACAGAAAGAUCCAUACUGGGGAAUAUCAGUCACCUGAC